UUGCUUCAGCAGCAAAUAUACUAAAAUUGGAAUGAUACAGAGAACAUUAUUCAUGGCCCCUGUAUGAGGAUGACACCCAAAAUGUAAGCAUUCCAUAUUUUA
Small nuclear RNA from Dipodomys ordii (Ord's kangaroo rat), 102 nucleotides. NCBI's taxonomy places the organism in Eukaryota, Metazoa, Chordata, Mammalia, Rodentia, Heteromyidae. The record is from Ensembl.